UACAGAGGUCUCAAGCGUUGUUCGGAUUCAUUGGGCGUAAAGGGCGCGUAGGCGGCGGCGUAAGUCGGGUGUGAAAUCUCAGAGCUCAACUCUGAAACUGCACUCGAUACUGCUCUGCUUGAGGACUGGAGAGGAGACUGGAAUUCACGGUGUAGCAGUGAAAUGCGUAGAUAUCGUGAGGAAGACCAGUGGCGAAGGCGGGUCUCUGGACAGUUCCUGACGCUGAGGCGCGAAGGCCAGGGGAGCAAACGGG
Molecule: ribosomal RNA, 253 nt
Filed under: uncultured bacterium
Lineage: Bacteria
Description: partial 16S ribosomal RNA
Rfam family: Bacterial small subunit ribosomal RNA
Source: RNAcentral